This is a long non-coding RNA of Balaenoptera ricei (Rice's whale), 482 nucleotides long. RefSeq lists it as uncharacterized. The transcript has 3 exons. The record is from RefSeq and is a predicted model, not a curated record. NCBI's taxonomy places the organism in Eukaryota, Metazoa, Chordata, Mammalia, Artiodactyla, Balaenopteridae.
GUCACAGGCACAGUCGCUGAAGCAGCCGGUCCGGAAGGAAGCUGUGGGUGUCCCGCCUGUCUCCACGACCUCCUCCCACCCAAUUCAUGGACAGACUGCCAUUAUUAUGGACCCAUUUCCAGGAUGUGUACUCGUCCCUCCUCACUGACUGACCUCUCACCGUGUGCCAGGCCCGUGCCAGGCUCGGGCAUGGGGUUGGGCAGGAGGAAAGCGAGGCUGGGAAGGGAUGGUGUUCAUGGACUCCUUGCCCUUUCAGCUCUUUUCUUACCUGCCCAGGAAGCUGAUGUGUGUGCUGCCUCGCCGAACACUCUCUAGUCUGUACAAACUCAAUGGAUGCUUACGUAAGGCGCGCCUUGGUCUCAUGACUUUUCUUAUCCACUUGACCUCGAUCGGCACCACCAAUUCUUCCUUCCAGCCAACAGUAAAUAACAACAGCAGGAAGCUUUACUCCAGAAAGCAUUAAUAAGAUAUUUUAAUGAAGG